GUCCAGACCAGCCAGUCAUUCAGAGAGCGGAGCUGACGCAUUUCUCUGUACUUUGCCUGCCGAGCCAUUAGGCAACUGCCUCGCUCCUCCGCACCCCACGCUUUUCUUCCACGUGGAACGUUUAAAACGAACUAGGAGUGGCCUCCUUUAGCUCCCCGCUCGUACAUCCGCCAUGUAGGCUUCCAGUACCUCCUGACGCGUGCGCAUGAAUGCAUGCGCCGCCUUUCCUGAUGUGCACUCCAGCCUUGUGCAAACAUCCGCUCCGCUGAGCGUGUUCCAUCAUGCAGCUUUGCUUGGGACGCCUCCAUGUCUGCUUCUCUUGCUUGUAUGCGCUCACCUAAACUAUAUGCCAUAAACCUUAAGUCACAGGUUUUCUUUUUUCUAUUUGGAGAUGGUUGUUUUUUCCAGGUUUUUAAAUCUAGGUUUCCAAUUAAGUAUAUCGUCAACAGCACAUGAGAUAGGUUAAUUUUAGAAUAGAAAUUGGGGUUGGGGUUUGCAAGAACGCUUAUUGUAUUUCGUUUUAGGGUGAAAUUUUUAAUUACGUAUUAAAACAUUCUAGGAAAGUCAUAGUAGAUUUGAGAUGCAGUGAAGGGCUGAAUUAAUAUCCAAAGCAAUAGAGGCUUGUCGGUUAAAUUAAAAGCCCGAACUCAAGUAGGAAGGAGAGUCUUUGCUUCUAUCAGAAUUCCCCACUUCCUCUCCUGAAACCCUCAUUUUGUUUAUUCAUUUUUCUUUUUUGGUGCAGGUACUCACUCACUCUUUAUCCCAUGCUGGUUGGGAAAUCUCUAUGAAGCUGACAGUAAUCUUCCUUUCCUGACUUAGCUUCCCAAGUACUGGAAUUGUAGGUGUGAGCCACCGCAGCCUGCUAACCCUCUUGCCUUUUAAAGCACAUCAUUUUUACUGUGACGAUGGACACUAGCGCUAUCUGUCUCUGGGCCACCAAGGACCUCUGAAGCCUUCUUGGUGACCUGGCUUAAUCUGGUGUUUUGUUUUGUUUUGCAUCCUGUGGUUUUCUAAUGGAUUUUCAGAACUUUUGCAACCUCUUAGCUAUUCAAGCUCCAUUUCUUAAAUUUUAAGAACUUAAACUGAGGGCUGGUAAGAUGGCUCAACAGUUAAAAGUGCUUGCCAGAGCCCUCACCCAGUGGCUGAAGGAAGCAGAGACAGACAUCCACAGAUAUACACUGAGCCGAAAUCGGGAAUUUAGUUGAAGAGAGGGAGGAAUGAAGAAAGAAGGGGUCUGUACCAGGUUGGAGAAACCCACAGGAACAGUUGACCUGAACAAGGGAGAGCACAUUGACCCCAGAUGCUGUCCGGGAGGCCAGUACAAGACUGAUCCAGACCCCUGAACAUGGAUGUCAAUAAGGAGGCCUCUGCACUCCAGGGAGCCUCUGGUGGUGGAUUAGUAUUUUUCCCUGGUGCAAGAAGGGACUUUGAGAGCCCAUCCCACGUGAAGGGUUACACUCUGGCCCUGGACACAUGGGGAAGGGCCCAGGACCAGCACAGGAAGACUUGGUGGACUUUGCAGAGCCCCAGUUGAGGGCCCUACCCUGCCUGGGGAAUGGUGG
RNAcentral lists this long non-coding RNA (1562 nucleotides) under Cricetulus griseus (Chinese hamster). Its description in RNAcentral is "lncRNA (ENSCGRG00015036619.1)". The record is from RNAcentral. Lineage: Eukaryota; Metazoa; Chordata; Mammalia; Rodentia; Cricetidae.